Molecule: ribosomal RNA, 334 nt
Filed under: Staphylococcus aureus
Lineage: Bacteria; Bacillati; Bacillota; Bacilli; Caryophanales; Staphylococcaceae
Description: partial 23S ribosomal RNA
Rfam family: Bacterial large subunit ribosomal RNA
Source: RNAcentral
GAUUAAGUUAUUAAGGGCGCACGGUGGAUGCCUUGGCACUAGAAGCCGAUGAAGGACGUUACUAACGACGAUAUGCUUUGGGGAGCUGUAAGUAAGCUUUGAUCCAGAGAUUUCCGAAUGGGGAAACCCAGCAUGAGUUAUGUCAUGUUAUCGAUAUGUGAAUACAUAGCAUAUCAGAAGGCACACCCGGAGAACUGAAACAUCUUAGUACCCGGAGGAAGAGAAAGAAAAUUCGAUUCCCUUAGUAGCGGCGAGCGAAACGGGAAGAGCCCAAACCAACAAGCUUGCUUGUUGGGGUUGUAGGACACUCUAUACGGAGUUACAAAGGACGACA